ACGAACGCUGGCGGCGUGCUUAACCCAUGCCAGUCGAACGGUGAAGCUCCAGCUUGCUGGAGUGGAUCAGUGGCGAACGGGUGAGUAACACGUGAGCAACCUGCCCCUGACUCUGGAAUAAGCGCUGGAAACGGCGUCUAAUACUGGAUACGAGAAGGGUCCGCAUGGGCACUUUCUGGAAAGUUUUUCGGUUGGGGAUGGGCUCGCGGCCUAUCAGCUUGUUGGUGAGGUAAUGGCUCACCAAGGCGACGACGGGUAGCCGGCCUGAGAGGGCGACCGGCCACACUGGGACUGAGACACGGCCCAGACUCCUACGGGAGGCAGCAGUGGGGAAUAUUGCACAAUGGGCGAAAGCCUGAUGCAGCGACGCCGCGUGAGGGAUGACGGCCUUCGGGUUGUAAACCUCUUUCAGCAGGGAAGAAGCGAAAGUGACGGUACCUGCAGAAGAAGCACCGGCUAACUACGUG
RNAcentral lists this ribosomal RNA (467 nucleotides) under uncultured bacterium. RNAcentral's name for it is "partial 16S ribosomal RNA". It matches the Rfam family "Bacterial small subunit ribosomal RNA", at positions 29 to 507 of the family's 1533-position model. The record is from RNAcentral.